UCGGGAAUUUUGAAGAGCUGUCUUGUCUAGCCUCACUAGAAAAAGGAUGAUGAGAUUGAUGACGUCCGCGAAAGCUAAGGAAACUUCGUCCUACGUCGCUCUACGUCGUUCUACACCUGUUUUCGUCGUUCUGCUUCAAGACUAAAGGUUAAAGUUAAAUGGAAGCCAAGAGAAGAGAUGUUAUCCUAAAUAAUCUAUACAACUAGAGGGACUUCAGCCACAUCCUCCCUUGGUAAGAAGUUUAGGGAGUGGAGAUUCUACCAGCCUUGCAAAGUUUCCAGUUAUCCCAUGAGAGAGACCUUGAUCACCUAUCCCAUGUGAGAGAUUGACGAUCCCGAAAACGAAUACUGCGUGCAUACUAUAACAAUGCUGGUACCGAGUGGCCGAGCCACGCCACCACGUGUACAUAAUAGAUGCAUGAUGGGAGGGACGCUGGCCAAUAGGAGAGAAGGAUUUCAUGGCCGCGACUAGCAUCAGGAACCAAUGGGAGAGCAGGAGGAUGGUGGCGAGUCUACUAGUACUAAGAUGGCGGCACGCAGCACGAUUUUCAAAAUUGUUAUCCGGGCGAAUCUCGGACUUUCAGAAACCUUUCGUAUCUUGAAAACUUUUCGUAUGUCAAAUUUUUCGUAUUGGCUUUCGUAUCUCGAGUUUUUCGUAAGUUGAGCCUUUCAUAUCUCGAGGUACUACUGUACUUCAGUUUUUCUACUCUGAAAACCUUUUCAAAUGAAAAGGCAUUGUGGUUCUCAAAUUGUUUGAUCUUGAACUUGGUGGAAAAUUCAAUCUACAGUAUAAGGAAAUCCUUUUUAAAAGUUACCAAACCAACAUUGUCAAAUAGGUAUUUACUGUUGAUGAGAUGUAAUUUCAGAUCUCCCAUUUUCCCAUCAAAAGUAACAUCUUUCAGGGAUAGAAUGUUAUAUACGGUAAGCGUAAGUGUCCGCUUUUAAUAUUUACAGUGAAAGUGUUGCUCAUUUACGUUCACAGAUAAUUUUAUUUCACUUAAUUGGUUAAGAUCUUAACACCACAAAGUUUAUUUGUCAAGUUAGUUAUUCAGAUUUGAAAAUUUAGGAUUUAAACUGAUGCAUGAUGAUAGUGUAAGGUGAAAAGAUCAUUACUGUAGCACAGCCAUUAAAGAAAACUGUAGAAAAGUGCUGUGGAAUUAGAUGUAAACAUGAGACUUGAGAGACAGGACCAUUUCCAUGUCAGCCCU
Long non-coding RNA from Macrobrachium nipponense, 1207 nucleotides. RefSeq lists it as uncharacterized. The record is from RefSeq and is a predicted model, not a curated record. Lineage: Eukaryota; Metazoa; Arthropoda; Malacostraca; Decapoda; Palaemonidae. The transcript is spliced from 3 exons.